CCUACGGGGUGCAGCAGUGGGGAAUAUUGGACAAUGGGCGAAAGCCUGAUCCAGCCAUGCCGCGUGUGUGAAGAAGGCCUUCGGGUUGUAAAGCACUUUCAGUGGGGAAGAAAGCCUUGGGGCUAAUACCCUCGAGGAAGGACAUCACCCACAGAAGAAGCACCGGCUAACUCCGCGCCAGCAGCCGCGGUAAUACGGAGGGUGCGAGCGUUAAUCGGAAUUACUGGGCGUAAAGCGCGCGUAGGCGGUCUGAUAAGCCGGUUGUGAAAGCCCCGGGCUCAACCUGGGAACGGCAUCCGGAACUGUCAGGCUAGAGUGCAGGAGAGGAAGGUAGAAUUCCCGGUGUAGCGGUGAAAUGCGUAGAGAUCGGGAGGAAUACCAGUGGCGAAGGCGGCCUUCUGGACUGACACUGACGCUGAGGUGCGAAAGCGUGGGUAGCAAACAGGAUUAGAUACCCCUGUAGUC
This 465-nucleotide ribosomal RNA is filed under the name Vreelandella stevensii. Its description in RNAcentral is "partial 16S ribosomal RNA". It matches the Rfam family "Bacterial small subunit ribosomal RNA", at positions 338 to 795 of the family's 1533-position model. Lineage: Bacteria; Pseudomonadati; Pseudomonadota; Gammaproteobacteria; Oceanospirillales; Halomonadaceae. The record is from RNAcentral.